This is a small nucleolar RNA of Crotalus tigris (Tiger rattlesnake), 74 nucleotides long. Lineage: Eukaryota; Metazoa; Chordata; Lepidosauria; Squamata; Viperidae. The record is from RefSeq and is a predicted model, not a curated record.
UUGGAUAUGAUGAAGAAUUUGAUGACUGAGCUCUUAACACACGAUGAGUCAUGUAUUCGUACUGUCUGAUCCAG